RNAcentral lists this ribosomal RNA (403 nucleotides) under uncultured Glomeraceae. RNAcentral's name for it is "SSU rRNA". It matches the Rfam family "Eukaryotic small subunit ribosomal RNA", at positions 569 to 977 of the family's 1831-position model. Lineage: Eukaryota; Fungi; Glomeromycota; Glomeromycetes; Glomerales; Glomeraceae. The record is from RNAcentral.
AGCAGCCGCGGUAAUUCCAGCUCCAAUAGCGUAUAUUAAAGUUGUUGCAGUUAAAAAGCUCGUAGUUGAAUUUCGGGGUUAGUAGGUUGGUCAUGCCUCUGGUAUGUACUGGUCUCACUGAUUCCUCCUUCCUGAUGAGCCGUAAUGCCAUUAAUUUGGUGUUGCGGGGAAUUUGGACUGUUACUUUGAAAAAUUAGAGUAGUUUAAAGCAAGCUAACGCUUGAAUACAUUAGCAUGGAAUAAUGAAAUAGGACGUUCGAUCCUAUUUUGUUGGUUUCUAGGUAUUGACGUAAUGAUUAAUAGGGAUAGUUGGGGGCAUUAGUAUUCAAUUGUCAGAGGUGAAAUUCUUGGAUUUAUGAAGACUAACUACUGACGAAAGCAUUUGCAAGGAUGUUUCAUUAAU